CCACAAAAGGGCAAAUAAAAACAGAGAAGAGGAAAAAGAAAAUAAACCCACCUAGUAAGAUCCCCUCGCCACCCUAAUCGUCCUAAAAUCCUGAUCUCUCUCCCCGCGCGCAAGAUUGGGUUCGCGAGAUGCUGCCGGCAUCGGACUAGUUGGACCGAAAGGAGAGUAGCGGCCGCGGCUGCCGUCUCGAGAUGGCGUGGCGAACAGGUGGGUGCGCCGGCCGCUGUCUGCUGUCGCUGCUCCUCCUGACAGCUUCCUUACUUGACUGGAGCUUGAUUUCUCUUGUUAAUAUGGUUAUCUUCUUUGCUAUCCGCUUUGUUGCUCCAAGGAGAGGAUUUCACAAUUGGAGGCUGUACCUAUUAUACUGGUGUACAGUUAUUUACUCAGCAGUUGCCAUUUUGGCUCAAGUUACGUUUCAUAUAAUAUGGGGAAUUGAGGGAAAGGGAUGGAUUGUGGCUCAUUCUUGGUGGGCGAAGCUGGUUGGUUUUGCAAGGGACCAGCCUUGGGAAUCACCAUCUGUUAUCUAUUUUCUUAUCGUACAGCUAUCUGCUGCUGUCCUUUCUUUGGUUGAAGUCUUUGGAAGCAGGAUCCAUCAAGAUUCAUGUUGGCUCAACUUCUCCUUUGACAUUGAGCAAAUAGGUUAUCAUUUUCGGGUUGCGUGCUGUUUGUUGCUGCCUGCUGUCCAAUUAAUUGUCAGUAUCAGUCACCCUUCUUGGAUUUCGUUGCCAUUCUUUGUAUUUAGCUGCAUCGGUCUUGUGGAUUGGUCCUUAACGAGCAACUUUCUUGGUCUUUUCCGGUGGUGGAGGUUACUUGAGAUAUAUUCGGUCUUUAGCAUUCUUCUUCUUUAUAUUUACCAACUGCGUGUCAAGUUUCCCUAUGUUGUGGUAGCAUUUGCUGACUUUAUUGGUCUAUUCAAAGUUUCUUCAAAAUCAGAAUGGCCUGAGCUGUCCUCCGGUAUUUCUCUUCUGGUGUAUUACUUCAUGCUGUCAUCAUUCAAGCGAGACAUACAAGAAAUGGAUAGUCUAAUGUCUCUAGAAAACGACAGCUUAACAGAGGACCUUCUCCCUUCUAGGAAUGCAUUUUUGGUUCGUCAAUCUCGAACUGGCAGAAGGCAUGCUAAUGUAUUACUAGGAGGUUCAGUUUUCAGAACAUUCAGUAUCAACUUCUUCACUUAUGGCUUUCCGGUUUUGCUUCUUGCCCUUUCCUUAUGGAGUUUCAACUUCACUAGUAUUUGCGCUUUUGGUCUCCUUGCAUACGUUGGAUACAUUUUAUAUGCUUUCCCUUCCUUGUUCCAAAUGCAUCGGUUGAAUGGGUCACUCCUAGUGUUUAUCCUGUUUUGGGCAGUAAGCACAUAUGUCUUCAAUGUGGCAUUCACAUUCUUCAACAAAAGAUUUCAGAAGGAUACGAUAAUAUGGGAGACUAUUGGCAUAUGGCAUUAUUCUAUCCCUGGACUAUUUCUACUCGCACAAUUCUGCCUUGGUGUUUUUGUAGCACUUUGUAAUCUUGUAAACAAUUCUGUUUUUCAUUACCUUACCUCUGAGGAGGGGCCAUCGUCUAGUGAUGAUCACCUUAUUGAUGACAAGGAAGAUGCAAUGGUUUUGAUUGUAGCAACGCUAGCAUGGGGUCUACGCAAACUUUCACGUGCAAUUACUUUAAUGUUACUGUUUCUUCUUGUGAUGAAACCUGGAUUUAUUCAUGCUGUUUACAUGUGCUUUUUCCUGGUGUUUCUGGUGAAUCAUUCAAUCAAUAAAAGACUACGCCAAUUCUUAGUGUUAUUUUGCGAGGUGCAUUUUUCAAUACUGUACAUUCUUCAGCUUGAUCUAGUCUCCAAUGCUCUUGAGCGCAGUGGUCCACUUAUGAUGGAGGUAUUCUCACAGUUAGGCCUCUCAAGUAAUGCUAAAACAAAAGACUUGGUGGAGAUUGGCUCAAUUAUAUGCUUCUGUGCUGUCCAUAGCCAUGGUUUUAAAAUGCUUUUUGCUCUCUCUGCUGUUCUUCGGCAUACACCGUGUCCACCUGUUGGGUUCACUAUCCUAAAGGCUGGUUUGAAUAAGUCAGUACUCUUGUCAGUUUAUAGCUCACAAAAUUCACGAGAAGGUCAAGUUUGCCGCAACUUACAUGAAAAAAAGAUUGCGUCAUAUCUCAGUAAAAUCGGCCAGAAAUUUCUCUCUAUGUAUCGCUCAUACGGAACUUAUGUGGCUUUCCUCACAAUUCUGUUGACUCUAUACUUGGUGACUCCCAAUUAUAUAUCAUUUGGUUACCUUUGGUUCCUUCUACUUUGGAUAAUCGGAAGGCAGCUUGUCGAGAAGACGAAGAGACGACUUUGGUUUCCAUUAAAAGUAUAUGCUGCUGUGGUGUUUAUCUUCACCUAUAGCCUGAGUAUUUCUCCACUCUUUGCGCGCUUGGUUUCAAAGUUUGUUAAACUAUAUCCUGAUCUUGGAUUUGAUCCUGAAGCCUCUUUGUUGGUAAAUGUUUGGCAAUCAUUGUCUAUUCUAAUAGUGAUGCAACUUUACAGUUAUGAAAGAAGGCAGAACAGUGACAAGAACUUCAGUGUUUCUGAUGCUUCUGCAUCUGGGCUUCUAGGGUUCCUUAGAAGGUUGCUAAUUUGGCACAGUGAGAAGAUACUAUCAGUUAGUGUGUUCUAUGCUUGCCUAUCAUCAAUCAGUCUAUCUGGCCUAGUUUAUCUGUUAGGUCUCAUUGUGUUUUCCACCUUACCAAAAGUUUCUCGAAUUCCUUCGAAGGUCUACCUACUCUACACUGGUUUACUUGCUGUAUCUGAAUACCUCUUCCAAAUGAUAUGCAAACCUGCUCAAAUGUGUCCUGGUCAGCGCUUGUAUGGAUUUGCUGCAUUUCUUGGUUUGAAACAUUACGAUUCUGGGCUUUGGGGUGUUGAAUAUGGGCUUAGAGGAAAAGUUCUGGUGAUUGUGGCUUGCACCAUUCAAUAUAAUGUGUUCCACUGGCUGGACUUAAUGCCAGCAUCUCUAGUACAUGAGGGUAAAUGGGAAGAGCCUUGUCAGCUGUUUAUCUCUUCCGAUCAAUCUGCUAGUCUUUUGAACAACAGGGAGGAGAUACAUUCCUCAAAUAGGUUUGCCUUGUUGUUUUCUAAAGUCCAAGGUCUUGUGGGUAGCAGCUUAUCUUCAUCCCUUAGUUCAGGCAACACUUAUCAGACCUCAGAAGCUGUCCAGAAUGUGACCAAAGGUUUGGACGAGGACAAAAGGUACUCAUUUGCAAAGAUGUGGGGAAUGUCAAAAGAAAGCCACAAGUGGGAUAAGCAAAGGAUCAUUUCUCUGAAAAGAGAAAGAUUUGACACCCAGAAGUCGACAUUUAAGAGCUACAUAAUAUUCUGGAUGGAAAAUCUUUUUAAACUGCGAGGUCUGGAAAUUAACAUGAUUGUGUUACUAUUGGCAAGCUUUACAUUGUUAAAUGUUGUAUCGAUGUUUUAUAUCAUGUGCCUCGUGGCAUGUAUUCUUAUGAACAGAGGUCUAAUCCAGAAACUGUGGCCCCUUUUCGUGUCUCUCUUUGCUACUGUCUUAGUACUCGAGUAUUUUGCCCUUUGGAAAGAUGGAAUGCUCUGGUUACAGGGUGUCAAUGAUAUUGAAAUGCGUUGCCACGGAUGCUGGAAAAAUUCGCAGAUUUUCUUUGAUUAUUGCUCGAAAUGCUGGCUAGGGUUAAUAGCUGAUGAUCCUCGAAUGUUGGUUAGCUACUAUGUUGUGUUCAUUUUUUCGUCAUUCAAGCUACGCUCUGACCACUUCUCUGGUUUCUCGGACUCGGAUACAUACCGUCAGAUGCGAUCCCAAAGGAAAAAUGCGUUUGUUUGGAGGGACCUCUCAUUGGAAACAAAAAGCUUCUGGACCUUUCUUGAUUAUGUGCGGCUUUAUGCUUACUGCCAUUUAUUAGAUAUAGUUUUGGCACUAAUUGCUAUUACUGGUACUCUGGAGUAUGAUUUUUUACACCUCGGUUAUCUCGGGUUUGCUCUGGUUUUCUUCCGAAUGAGACUUGAAAUACUGAAGAAGAAGAAUAAGAUUUUCAAGUAUCUACGGAUGUAUAAUUUCGCUGUUAUAGUUUUGUCACUUGCAUAUCAAUCUCCUUAUGUUGGGCAGUUUAGCUCUGGCAAGUGUGAUCAAAUAGAUUACCUCUAUGAAAUUAUUGGAUUCUACAAGUAUGAUUAUGGUUUUAAGAUAACAUCACGGUCAGCUUUUGUUGAGAUAGUGAUCUUCUUAUUGGUGGCAGUGCAAUCAUACAUCUUUAGUUCUGGUGAGUUUGAUUAUGUAUCAAGAUACCUUGAAGCAGAGCAAAUCGGUGCAAUGGUCCGUGAACAGGAGAAGAAGGCUUUAAAGAAAACUGAACAGCUGCAGCAUCUUCGCAGGUCUGAGGAGCAAAAACGUCAACGCAACAUGCAAGUAGAAAGGAUGAAAUCUGAGAUGUACAAUUUACAAAGUCAACUAAAUACAAUGAAUUCCUUCACCCCAAUCAAUCAUGCUUCCUGCAAUGAAGGCUUACGGCGCAGGAGGACUACUAGGUUGUACAGUGAUAUUGAUCCUCCAUUGCUAGAUAAUGAGACUGGUUCACCAGCUGCAGCAUCUCAGUCAUUUGAAUUCUCUGUAGCAGAUACAAAGAGAAACAUACCAGAUUUAUUGUUCCCAAGCUCGUGUGAUGCUCCACGGUCACCAAUCAGGGGGAGGAGUGAAGAAUUUAUGCUGGCUGAUGAUGCUAAAAAUUCCGUGGGCUCAACAUCUGAGAUUAUUGAGCUUGAUGAGUGUGAUAUCAAAUUGCAUCCUAACUUACUAAAAGAGGAGAAGGAAAGAAGACAACCCAAGGAAAACCCACUUAAAUCUGCUGUGCAGUUAAUUGGUGAUGGUGUUUCCCAAGUUCAGUCAUUUGGAAACCAGGCAGUUACAAACAUUGUGAGCUUCUUGAACAUUGAUCCAGAAGAAUCACUCUCCAAUGAGCAUCCCGCAGAAGGUAGCUUUUAUGAUGUAGUAGAAAACCAGAGGGGAACACAAGAUGGCCAGUUUCUGAGGACACAUUCAGAUAGCUUGGGAACUGCAACAGAAUCCUCAGCAAGUAUGCCAGUUGGUGUUAUCUUUCGGUAUAUAUGGUAUCAGAUGCGAAGUAAUUAUGAUUAUGUUUGCUAUUGCUGUUUUAUCCUGGUAUUUCUGUGGAAUUUUAGUUUGCUCUCCAUGGUCUACCUUGGAGCGCUUUUCUUAUAUGCUCUUUGUGUCAACUAUGGGCCAAGUUACUUGUUUUGGGUCAUUGUUCUGAUCUACACUGAGCUCAACAUUCUAUCACAGUAUAUAUAUCAGAUUAUUAUCCAACACUGUGGUUUGAAUAUACAUUUGCCUCUUCUCCAGAGAUUAGGUUUCCCUGAUGAUAAAAUAAAAGCAUCCUUUGUUGUCAGCAUAUUGCCUUUGUUUUUGGUAUAUAUAUCUACUCUCCUGCAGAGCUCAAUCACAGCCAAAGAUGGUGAAUGGGUCCCUGUAACAGAAUUCAGUUUCCUUAGUGCAAGAAAUAACAUUGAAGAGAAAUUUUGUAUACCAUACAACUGGAAAGAUAGGUUAAAAAGUUUACACAUGCCUUUAAUGAAUCUUAUAAGGAUGUUUGGGAGGGGCUUAUCUAGAUAUUGGCUAUCACUAACACAGGGUGCAGAAUCUCCUCCCUUUUUUGUGCAAGUUACAAUGGAAGUAAAACAUUGGCCAGAAGAUGGAAUCCAACCAGAGAGGAUAGAGUCAGCAAUAAAUAAGGUACUUGUGACAGCCCAUGAAGAAAGAUGUCAAUCUAAUUCGCCUUCAUCAUGCCAUUCUUCUAGUCGAGUUCGGAUUCAAAGUAUUGAACGGAGCAAAGAAAAUCCUAGUAUGGCUCUUGCUGUGCUAGAAGUUGUUUAUGCUGCUCCUACAGAAUGCCAGUCAGCAGGAUGGUUCAAAUCACUUACUCCAGCAGCUGAUGUAGAAAGGGAAAUUCAUGACUCACAAAAGGCAGGCCUUUUUGAAGAAAUAAAUUUCCCCUACCCAGUUGUCUCUGUAAUUGGCGGCGGUAAAAGAGAGAUUGAUCUUUAUGCAUAUUAUUUUGGUGCUGACAUGGCAGUUUUCUUUCUUGUUCUCAUGUUCUAUCAAUCUAUCCUAAAAAACAAGAGUGAAUUCUUGGAAGUUUAUCAGCUGGAAGAACAAUUCCCUAAAGAGUUUGUUUUCAUCCUAAUGAUUCUCUUUUUCUUGAUUGUAGUUGACCGCAUUAUAUACUUGUGGUCAUUCGCCACGGGAAAAGUUGUUUUCUAUAUUUUCAAUCUUGUGCUCUUCACAUACUCGGUCACUGAGUAUGCCUGGGGAAUGGAGCUAGCCCACAGGGAUGUUGGAGGAUUUGUUUUACGUGCCAUCUACCUUACAAAAUCAAUUUCCCUUGCACUGCAGGCUUUGCAGAUCAGAUAUGGUAUCCCCAACAAAAGUAACUUGUAUAGACAGUUUCUGACUAGCAAAGUAACACAAGUAAACUACUUGGGUUUCCGGCUAUACCGAGCUUUACCGUUCUUGUAUGAGCUUCGAUGUGUUCUUGAUUGGUCUUGCACGACUACAUCAUUAACAAUGUAUGAUUGGCUUAAGUUGGAGGACAUAUAUGCGAGCUUGUUCCUUGUGAAAUGCGACACAAUUUUAAAUAGGGCAAAUCAUCAACACGGGGAAAAGCAAACAAAAAUGACAAAAUUCUGUGGUGGGAUAUGCUUAUUCUUCGUACUUAUCUGUGUUAUUUGGGCUCCAAUGUUGAUUUACAGCAGUGGCAAUCCCACAAAUAUUGCCAAUCCAAUUAUUGAUGUAAGUGUUAAGAUUGACAUAAAGGCUCUUGGUGGAAGGCUAACAUUUUUCCAAACAACUGCUUGUGAAAAGAUACCUUGGAAGUAUUUGAAGGCCUAUAAUGAUGUUGAUCCUCUAGAUUACUUAGGGGCUUACAAUGUUGAGGACAUUCAGCUAAUCUGUUGCCAACCUGAUGCAUCCACAAUGUGGUUGGUACCUCCUCCAGUCCAAAGUAGAUUCGUUCGAUCCCUUGAAGAGACAGAAAUGAUUUUUGGAAAGAUGGAACUUAUUUUAAAUUGGGAUUUUCUCAGAGCUAGACCAAAAGGUAAGGAGUUAGUGAAAUAUGAAUCACCCGUCGAGCAGUGCCCGAGUGUAGAGAAUGUUAAGCAAGUGCUCAAUGGAUCUGCACACAGCUUGAGGAUAACUGAUGCUUACCCUAGGUACUUCCGGGUUACUGGAUCAGGUGAAGUGCGGCGACUAGAGUCAUCGAUAGAUUCAGUAAGCGGUGAACUGCUCUUGAAUAAUGGCACUCCUCCUUGGUGGUCAUUCUACGAUACAAACCCAUCAGAUCUGGCAGGUUGUCAAGGGCAGAAUGGUCCUAUGGCAAUCGUCGUGUCUGAGGAGACACCUCAGGGCAUUAUUGGUGAAACACUCAGCAAAUUCAGCAUAUGGAGUUUGUACAUUACUUUUGUGUUAGCUGUUGCAAGAUUUAUUAGACUGCAAUGCUCAGACUUGAGAAUGAGGAUACCAUAUGAGAAUCUCCCAUCUUGCGACAGGUUGCUUGACAUCUGUGAAGGCAUUUAUGCUGCGCGGGCAGAGGGCGAGUUAGAAGUGGAAGAAGUUUUAUAUUGGACAUUGGUAAAUGUUUACAGGUCACCGCACAUGCUGCUCGAGUACACCAAGCCAGACUAGGCCUCCGAUUCUGCAAAAGGAGCAACUUUGCAAAUACUAAUCCCAGUAUUUUACAAGAGGCUUAGCUGAUAGGUCUUUAACUGAUCCAUGAGGAGCCACAUCACUCGAGGCCCUCUGUAUUUUUGGCUUUCAGGCUGCUUAGAACAAUACCAUGUAAAUAGACCUCGUAGUUCUCGCUAAAUACAGUACAUUUUUUCUGAUAGCAUGUACAUUUGAUAAUGUAUACGUCAAAGUUUGAUAGUUGAAGUUAUCCCAGUAACUAAUCUGUAGUAAAAAGUUGUUGAGAAAGAUGCAAUUCAUUCAAUCAAGGUCAGCCCACCCGGCAGAAUGGGUUCAAUUCCGGUUAUUUUAUGAUCCUUACACUCGGACUCAGGUAUGUCCAUUUCUUUUUGUCAGAAUGCUUUGUUCUCUGCUGAUACAGCUUAUAUUCUUUUUUUUUGCGGGUGAUACAACUUAUAUUCUCACUAGCUU
This 8156-nucleotide ribosomal RNA is filed under the name Triticum aestivum (bread wheat). Its description in RNAcentral is "partial small subunit ribosomal RNA". The record is from RNAcentral. Lineage: Eukaryota; Viridiplantae; Streptophyta; Magnoliopsida; Poales; Poaceae.